Molecule: long non-coding RNA, 4929 nt
Organism: Mytilus californianus (California mussel)
Lineage: Eukaryota; Metazoa; Mollusca; Bivalvia; Mytilida; Mytilidae
Exons: 2
Source: RefSeq, a predicted model, not a curated record
UCUUGCUGCAAGCUUAGUUAUUUGCAAAAUAAUUGCAAAGAAACCUGUUAAUUGUAUCAUAAUCCGAUAUAUUAUCAUAACAAUUUAAGGAUUCCAAUUUAACAGCAAUUUGUUUUUAUAGCAAUUAACUGAUUGGUUACAUUUGUCUUGAAUUAAGAAUAAUUAAACACUAAUGAGCAAUCAGUGAAAGACAAAUGUUACUUUCAAAUAAAUAUCAAAGAGAUUGUCCAUUCAUUCAUUAACAAUAAGGGUGUGUCAUGUUUUUGUCCGUUAUGUCUGCAAAACAUGGAUCACCAGCUCUUUCUACCAGAUUACUGCAUGGUGUGUGUUCAACCAACCUACUAGGAAAAACAACGACAUAGAAGGCUGGGACAGGCACCUCAACUAAAAGAACAACGAUGAAAAGCCAGCCUUCUACGACCUCAUCCAGAAACUUCAUGAAGAGUCACAACUCCUACCAAUCCUAUCCUAUUCAAUAUAUGGGAGCAGUACAUUGCCGGCAUGACAAAUUUCAUUGGGAUUUUUCUAUUUUUCAUAAGUGGGGCGAGUUGGCAGACCUAUAUUCAGGGUGAUUUUAACCCUUUUCCUAAGUGGGGUGAGUUGUCAGACCCAUAUUCAACGAGAUUUUAAACUUUUUCAUGAGUGGGGCGAGUUGGUAAACAAGAGUGGGGCGAUUUGGUGUGGGGCGAUUUGCCAGUGAGGCGAGUUGUCAUGGACUCAUUAACUAGUAGCUUUGAAUAGUUAAUAUGAAAGUAACAGCUUAAUUUUUAAUGACUAUUGUUUCAGAAAAAGGGUGAAGGUUUGGUACCAUUAAAACGUUUAAACCCGCUGCAUUUGUUUGCACCUGUCCUAAGUCAGGAAUCUGAUGUUCAGUAGUUGUUGUUUGUUGAUGUGUUUCAUAAGUGUUUCUUGUUUCUUGUUAUACGACCGCAAAAAUUAAAAAAAAUUUGGUCGUAUAUUGGUAUGACGUUGGCGUCGUCGUCGGCGUCGUCCGAAGACACAUUGGUUUUCGCACUCUAACUUUAGUUUAAGUGAAUGGAUCUCCAUGAAAUUUUACCAUAAGGUUCAAUACCACGAAAGGAUGGUUGGGAUUGAUUUUGGGGGUUAUGGUACCAACAGUUAAGGAAUUAGGGGCCAAAAAGGGGCCAAAAAUAAGCAUUUUUGUAACUUCCAGACAAUAACUUGUAUGUAAGUGUAUGGAUCUCUCUGACAUUGUACCACAAGGUUCCAUAUCACAAAGGGAAUGCUGGGAUUGAUUUUGGGGGUAAUUGCCUCCAAAUUUUAGGAAUUAGGGGCCAAAAACAAGCAUUUUUUCUAGUUUCAUGACAAUAACUUGUGUGUAAGUGUAUGGAUCUUUAUGAAAUUGUACUACAAGGUUCCAUAUCACAAAGGGAAAGCUGGAAUUGAGUUUGGGGGUAAUUGCCCAAAAAAUAUAGGAAUAAGGGGCCAAAAAUAAGCAUUUUUCUAGUUUCCAGACAAUAACUUGUGUUCAAGUGUAUGGAUCUCUCUGAAAUUGUACUGCAAGGUACCAUACUACAAAGGGAAGACUGGGAUUGAUUUUGGGGGUAAUUCCCUCAAAAUUUUAGGUAAAGGGGCCAUAAAAGGGCAAAAAAACAAGCAUUUUCUAGUUUCAGGACAAUAACUUGUGUGUAAGGUGUAUGGAUCUUUAUGAAAUUGUACUGCAAGGUUCCAUAUCACAAAGGGAAAGCUGGGUUUGAGUUUGGGGGUAAUUGCCCUUAACGAUUAGGAAUUUGGGGCCAAAAAGGGGCCAAAAAACAAGCAUUUUUCUAGUUUCCACACAAUAACUUGUGUUCAAGUGUAUGGAUCUCUCUGAAAUUGUACUGCAAGGUACCAUACCACAAAGGGAAGGCUGGGAUUGAGUUUGGGGGUGAUGAAUCAUAAGGGGGUUCAAAAAAUUUGGGGGGGGAUUUUUUUUUCCUUUUUUUUCUUUAAAAUUUUCCAUUUUAAAUUGGUUAUUUCUGAUUUAUAUAUAAAAGCAAAUAAUAAUGAUAUGGUUUGAAUAGGUAAAUUAAAAUUUUUUAAGUUCUUAGACCACUUUCAUUCUGUGUCAGAAACCUAUGCUGUGUCAAAUAUUUAAUUACAAUCAAAAUUCAGUGCUGUAUCAAGCUUGAAUGUUGUGUCCAUACUUGCCCCAACUGUUCAGGGUUCGACCUCUGCGGUUGUAUCAAGCUGCGCCCCAGCGGAGCAUUUUAUUAAUGUGCUAUUUCACAAGGUAGCAGUCCGCAGGUAGACAUGUCACCUUACCCGGAGACAUUAUUCUGAAUCUGAGCUGACCAGUCUUUGCUCUUACCCCUUAAUGCUGUGUGCUUAGCGGAGAAGCAGCAAAUAUCAAUUUUAAAGUCUUUGGUUUGACCCGGCCGGGGUUCUAGCCCACAACCUCCCGCACUCGAGGCGAACAAGCUACCAUGAGAUCACCAAGGCGGUUAUGUGACAUAGAGAUGUAAUAUGGUUAUAUGAAUGUUUUUUGAAUAUAUGUAAAUUUGUGUUUUUGCUUUCAUUGUAGAAAAAAAAUGCAAAUGAUUACCAACAGGAAGCUUUCUUAUUCAAGUGAAUGCAACUUACUUUUUAACCCUCUUGUGAUAAAGACUUUUUUAUUAUGGUUAAUUUUCUUAGAUAAAUGAGAUACCUGGUAGAUUGUAGUUUAUAUGAUAAUAAAAUACUCCGCAGGGCGCAGCUUGAUACGACCGCAGAGGUCGAACCCUGAACAGUUGGGGCAAGUAUGGACACAACAUUCAAGCUUGAUACAGCUUUGCAUUUGGAUUGUGAUUAAAUAUUUGACACAGCAUAGGUUUCUGACACAGCAUGAAUGUGGUCUAAGAACUUAAUAAUUUUAAAUUGGACAUUCACCUAUUAUGGUCCAAUAUCCAAAAUCUAAAUACAUGGUUAGAUUCAGCAUAUCAAAGAACCCCAAGAAUUCAAUUUUUGAUGAAAUCAAACAAAGUUUAAUUUUGGACCCUUUUGACCUCAAUGUGGACAAAGUUGAUAACGGGGCCCAAAAAUCAAAAAUCUAAAUACAUGGUUAGAUUCAGCAUAUCAAAGAACCCCAUAUAUUCAAUUUUUGUUGAAAUCAAACAAAGUUUAAUUUUGGACCCCGAUUUGGACCAACUUGAAAACUGGGCCCAUAAUCAAAAAUCUAAAUACAUUUUUAGAUUCAGCAUAUCAAAGAACCCUAAGAAUUCAAUUUUUGUUAAAAUCAAACUAAGUUUAAUUUUGGACCCUUUGGACCUUAAUGUAGACCAAUUUGAAAACGGAACCAAAAAUUAAGAAUCUAAAUACACGGUUAGAUUCGGCAUAUCAAAGAACCCCAAUAAUUCAAUUUUUGAUGAAAUCAAACAAAGUUUAAUUUUUGACCCUUUGGACCUCAAAGUGGACCAAUUUAAAAAGGGGCCCAAAAUCCAAAAACUAAAUACACGGUUAGAUUCAGCAUAUUAAAGAACCCCAAGAAUUCAAGAAUAAAACCCCAUUGAAAUUGGUCAAGAAAUAAGCAAUUUAUACGAAGUAUCUUCUUUUGCACAAUACUGUGCAAUUAAAUAUUUCUUGCUAUUGCGCAAUACUGUACUAUUGACAAUUUCUUGCUAUUGCGCAAUAUUGUGCUAUUGGAGAUUUCUUGCUAUUGUGCAAUACUGUGCAAUUGAAGAUUUCUUGCUAUUGCGCAAUACUGUGCAAUUGAAGAUUUCUUGCUAUUGUGCAAUACUGUGCAAUUGAAAAUUUCUUGCUAUUGCACAAUACUUAUUAUAUAAUAAUUUACACAUCCUGUUUGGUGUGUAUCUCCUACCAUAUCAUUAUUAUUUGCUUUUAAAUAUAAAUCAGAAAUAACCAACUUAAAAUGGAAAAUUUUAAAAGAAAAAAAAAAGGAAAAAAAAAAAAUCCCCCCCCCCAAAUUUUUUGAACCCCCUUAUGAUUCAUCACCCCCAAACUCAAUUCCAGCCUUCCCUUUGUGGUAUGGUACCUUGCAGUACAAUUUCAGAGAGAUCCAUACACUUGUCAACACAAGUUAUUGUCUGGAAACUAGAAAAAUGUGUUUUUUGCCCCUUUUUGGCCCCUAAUUCCUAAAAUAUUGAGGCAAUUACCCCCAUCAUCAAUCCAAGCCUUCCCUUUGUGGUAUGGUACCUUGCAGUACAAUUUCAGAGAGAUCCAUACACUUGAACACAAGUUAUUGUCUGGAAACUAGAAAAAUGCUUAUUUUUGGCCCCUUUUUGGCCCCCAAUUCCUAAACGUUUCGGCAAUUACCCCCAAACUCAAUUCCAGCUUUCCCUUUGUGAUAUGGAACCUUGUAGUACAAUUUCAGAAAGAUCCAUACACUUACACACAAUUUGUUGUCAUGAAACUAGAAAAAUUAUUGUUUUUUGCCCCUUUUUUGGCCCCUAAUUCCUAAAAUUUUGAGGCAAUUACCCCCAAAAUCAAUCCCAGCAUUUCUUUUGUGAUAUGGAACCUUGUGGUACAAUGUCAGAGAGAUCCAUACACUAACACACAAGUUAUGUCUGGAAAUUACAAAAAUGCUUAUUUUUGGCCCCUUUUUGGCCCCUAAUUCCUUUACUGUUGGUACCAUAACCCCCAAAAUCAAUCCCAACCUUCCUUUUGUGGUAUUGAACUUGUGGUAAAAUUUCAUAGAGAUCCAUGCACUUAAACUAAAGUUAGAGUGCGAAAACCAAUGUGUCUUCGGACGACAACGACGACAACGACGACGCCAACGUCAUACCAAUAUACGACCACAAAAAUUUUUUUGCGGUCGUAUAAAAAGAAUACAGAUAAUUCUAUCAGGCAUAUAUUUUAAUUUACAGUUCAACUCUAGAAAAUAUCACAAACAACAAUUAGCAUUUUGUUAUUUUUUCACUCCUUGUACUGCUUUCUUCUUCUUUCCUCCCAUAAGAUAUAAUCCUAGAAGUCCAUAACAACCAAGUGUUAAAA